AUCCAGAGAAGGCGGUGGGGAGGCAGGCAUCUCCUGGGAGGAGCUGCAGCAGAGUAACAGCUGACAUCCAUUGGGUGCUCACUACUUGCGGUCGUCCCCACAAGCAGCUGGCGAUGUGGAUACUAUUGUUAUGCCCAUUUUACAGCUGAACUGUGGGAUGAAAGGACAAAGCCCAGUUAUUUAACUUUUCAUCACUGGGCCAAGUGAAAGAGAAACUGGACAUCCACCUGUCCUGCGGCUGCAGAGGGGAGUCCACCUGAUGGGGAGAAGGUGGAGUUUGGGCUUCGUGACCUUCAAGGCUCGCCACUCCCGACGCC
RNAcentral lists this long non-coding RNA (317 nucleotides) under Equus asinus (donkey). RNAcentral describes it as "lncRNA (ENSEASG00005034215.1)". The record is from RNAcentral. Lineage: Eukaryota; Metazoa; Chordata; Mammalia; Perissodactyla; Equidae.